GGUAAAUGGAAGUUUAGUCAGGCCUUCAUUAUUCUUGCCACCAAGCGUAUACAAACUGCCAUCGUUUGGGUCUGGAAGAAAUGCUGGCUCUUCCACGUGUAUUGGCACCUGCAGUACAGGAUCUUCUUUUAAAGUCCACUUGAUCGCUCCCGUCCGCUUGCUGACAGCAUGCAAACUUCCAUCAAGAGUUGAAACAAACAAGAGUGUUUCAGGCACAGUUACUGAGCUGGUGUUCCCGGGGCUCGGCGAGAGCAGCAGCACCGCGGCCAGGCCGAACAGCAGGCAGCGGAGCGGCUCCAUGGCUGCCACGGCGGCCGCUCCCUCCGCGCGGCGCUGCCUGCCGGCCGCGGCGUGUCC
Molecule: long non-coding RNA, 357 nt
Filed under: Gallus gallus (chicken)
Lineage: Eukaryota; Metazoa; Chordata; Aves; Galliformes; Phasianidae
Source: RNAcentral